ACACGUACACGUCAGCAGAGAUGAUGCGUUCCGUUUUGCGGGCGGUCUGAAAUCCUAUUGGUCAGAGCGCGUGGGAGCACAUUCAAACGCCACGUGCACCGAAGUCCUUGGGACCCGAACCAUCCGGAAGUUUUCCGAUUCCCCGCGAGCCUAUUUAUUUUGCAACCGUUAUACCCCUCCUCGUUCAUUCAUGCAACCGAUACUCCAAUUCAAAAAUCAAGAUUCAUAACUCAAGAAAAAUCCCCACCAGCGUUUCAGGUUUUGCGAAGAUGAAAAUUCGAUCGCCAUUGUCCUUUGCGCUUAUAUCAAUGCUAUUAGUUUUAUACGGAGAAGCCAAAACUAUUGAUCCUUACAAGGUGCUUGGCGUGGAGAAGAACGCGAGUCGAAGAGAGAUUCAGAAAGCUUUUCACAAGCUCUCUCUUAAAUACCAUCCUGACAAGAACAAAAGUAAAGCUGCACAAGAGAAGUUUUCUGAGAUCAACAAUGCAUAUGACAUCUUAUCAGAUGAACAAAAGAGAAAAAAUUAUGAUAUGUAUGGGGAUGAAAAAGGUGCUCCUGGAUUUGAUGCUGGCCACCCUGGGGAUCAUGGUGGAUAUACUUACUUCACUAGCGGUGGACCUGGACAAAGUGAGUUUACAUCUGGACCAGGUGGAUGGCAGCAUAUGGGUGGGCAGGGAAGUUCCCAGACUUUCUCAUUUUCCUUUGGUGGCGCUGGUGGGUCAAACACAUUUGGUAGCCGUGGCCGACCAAGUUCCUUUGGUUUUGAUAUUGAUGAUAUUUUCUCUGGCUUCUUUGGGGGUGGUAUGAAAGAUCAGGGUCAAUUUGGUGGUUUCAGUGGUUCGAGCAGUUCUCAGUCUCAAUCUGGGAGUUCACCUAAGAGCUCCAGAACCUUAAAUUCUGAGGUCUUUAGAAAAGAAAUAGCUGACCAAGGGAUGACUUGGCUUUUGUUAUCUUAUACACCAUCAUUGCAGGGGAAACAAUAUUAUGAAUCUAUCAUAGAGGAGGUGGCCAGUUUAUUGGAAGGAGCUAUAAAGGUUGGAAACAUAAAUUGUGAAAUUGAGUCGUCUUUCUGUAAGGAUCUUGGUAUGCAUCCUGGGAGAGCACCAAGGUUGUUUGUUUAUUCAUACAAAGGAAGUGAGAGGGGUUCUCUGGAAGAAUACAAGGGUGAUUUGAUUGCUAAGAAUGUCAAAACAUUUUGCCAAGAUCAUUUACCAAGGUUUUCAAGAAGGAUUAGCCUAAAUCAUUUUGUCAUGUCUUCUAGUAAUGUCGAAAAAUACCCAAGGGUGAUACUUCUUUCUACGAAAAAAGAUACACCAGUUAUUUGGCGUGUUCUCAGUGGCUUGUAUCAUAAAAGAUACACUUUCUACGAUGCAGAGGUUCAAGAUGUUUCUGAUCCAGCCGUGAAGAAGUUAGGGGUUGAUGCACUUCCAGCUAUAAUUGGGUGGCUAUCCAACGGAGAGAAGCACGUCCUGAAAUCUGGUAUUUCAGUAAAGGAUUUGAAGUCUGCAAUCAAACAACUCAGUAUGAUGCUUGAUAGUUUUGAGAAGAAGAAUAAAAAGGCAGCUUCUUUUCAGACAAGCGAAAAGCAGACAGAUGCCACAGACAGACAAUUACCUUUGUUGACAGUGUCAAACUUUGAUUCUCUUUGUGGGGAUAAAACUCCUGUCUGUAUUAUAGGUGCAUUCCGAUCAUCCAGAGCUAGGGAGAAGCUGGAGUCCCUUUUAUCUAAGGUUUCUCAGAAAUCACUAUCAAGGAGCCUGAAUGUGGCAUCUGGUUCUAGGGAUUCUGUAUCCUAUAUCCUCUUGGAUGCUACCAAGCAACCAUCAUUUAUGAGUGUGUUUGAUAAAUCUGGAUUCAAAUCAUCAGAUAACUUCCUUGUGGCCUACAAACCUCGGAAGGGGAAGUUUGCAGCAUUUACAGGUGACAUGACCAUGGAAGAGGUAGAGAAAUUCAUAAGCUCUGUUCUUAAUGGAGAUGUAAAAUUUACCAGGACAAGGCAGAAUCCUAUACUCAAGUGAACCAGUCAAUGAUUAUGAACUCAGAUUCUGGUUUUGUAUACCAUGUACAGAGUGUAGAGUCAUUGCAUCAUCAGAACUCGUAAUGCCACCUUGGGUGGUGUUCUUCCAUCAUAUUCGUUUUAUGGGUUGAGGAGCAUCUGCAUCAUGAAAAGCCCUUGGAAGUGAAGUUGAUGCUUUUUGGUAUAUUGGUGGUCUUCUGCUUUUUGUGUCAAGAGUCAGAACACAAACAAUUCCAACAUUGCUUCCUCACUUUGGUAACUUUUCCACCUUGUCCUUGCCUCGUGAAGUUGUCUCAGGAUACUAUUCCUAAAGCAAGACACUUCACAGCUUAUCUUAUCAAUGGCUCACCCACCAAACUGACCAUUGUUUCAGAGAUUUACAGCUUUCUAUUGGCUUCCUUCUUGCUUCAUUCACUGCAGAUAUGCAGCCACGCUUUGCAUGCUAGAUGUCGUUUUGAAAUAUCAAAAUGGUUAUUCUUGUUUUGGUACAUUUUAACUUACCUAAAGCAAGACACUUCACAGCUUAUCUCAUCAAUGGCUCACCCACCAAAUUGACCAUUGUUUCAGAAAUCUACAGCUUUCUAUUGGCUUCCUUCUUGCUUCAUUCACGGCAGAUGUGCAGCCACGCUUUGCAUGCUAUAUUUCCCUUUCAAAUAUCAAAAUGGUUAUACUUGUUUUGGUACAUGGCAAAAUGAUUAUUCAACUUUUCAGUUUUUCAAUUGCACCAAACUUGGAUUUUGGAACUGAAUUACGGGAUUGUAAAUUAAUGGAAAAAAAGGAAAUACUAAAAAGAAAACAAAUAUACGAAAUUUGCCUUUUCCGGUGUUAGAAUUUUUUGAUUUGGCACGCAUAAACCCUAUGGAAAUAAAUGAAUAAUGCAGAUCUGAAUAAGAUAUUUCAUAUUUAUUACUUACACUCUUCUAGUUGGGCAGCACAGAUCUCUUCCAUUGGCUGCCCUCCUUCCAAUCACAGCACAUGCUCGUGCUUCUUGCUGCGACAGCGUUAUACAAUGGCCACGUUUUGUGGCCACUCCACCCUCC
Molecule: RNA transcript, 3057 nt
Organism: Durio zibethinus
Lineage: Eukaryota; Viridiplantae; Streptophyta; Magnoliopsida; Malvales; Malvaceae
Gene: ATERDJ3A
Gene name: DNAJ heat shock N-terminal domain-containing protein
Source: RefSeq, a predicted model, not a curated record